Molecule: transfer RNA, 72 nt
Filed under: Daphnia magna
Lineage: Eukaryota; Metazoa; Arthropoda; Branchiopoda; Diplostraca; Daphniidae
Rfam family: tRNA
About the family: Transfer RNA (tRNA) molecules are approximately 80 nucleotides in length.
Source: Rfam by way of RNAcentral
GGUUCUAUGGUGUAUUGGUUAGUACUUCAGACUCUGAAUCUGACAAUCUUAGUUCAAAUCUCGGUAGAACCU